AUUGAACGCUGGCGGAAUGCUUUACACAUGCAAGUCGAACGGCAGCACGGACUUCGGUCUGGUGGCGAGUGGCGAACGGGUGAGUAAUGUAUCGGAACGUGCCCAGUCGUGGGGGAUAACGUAGUGAAAAUUACGCUAAUACCGCAUACGAUCUAUGGAUGAAAGCGGGGGAUCGCAAGAUCUCGCGCGAUUGGAGCGGCCGAUAUCAGAUUAGGUAGUUGGUGGGGUAAAGGCCCACCAAGCCAACGAUCUGUAGCUGGUCUGAGAGGACGGCCAGCGACACUGGAACUACGACAGGGUCCAGAAUCCUUCGGGAGGCACCAGUGGGGAAUUUUGGACAAUGGGCGAAAGCCUGAUCCAGCCAUUCCGCUUGCAGGAUGAGGUCCCUCGGGUUGUAAACUGCUUUUGUACAGAACGAAAAGGUUUCUACUAAUACUAGGAGCUCAUGACGGUACUGUAAGAAUAAGCACCGGCUAACUACGUGCCAGCAGCCGCCGUAA
This 500-nucleotide ribosomal RNA is filed under the name uncultured bacterium. RNAcentral describes it as "partial 16S ribosomal RNA". It matches the Rfam family "Bacterial small subunit ribosomal RNA", at positions 30 to 523 of the family's 1533-position model. The record is from RNAcentral.